Molecule: ribosomal RNA, 580 nt
Filed under: uncultured bacterium
Lineage: Bacteria
Description: bacterial SSU rRNA
Rfam family: Bacterial small subunit ribosomal RNA
Source: RNAcentral
AGGCAAUGAUGCGUAGCCGAACUGAGAGGUUGAUCGGCCACAUUGGGACUGAGACACGGCCCAAACUCCUACGGGAGGCAGCAGUAGGGAAUCUUCCACAAUGGGCGAAAGCCUGAUGGAGCAACGCCGCGUGGGUGAAGAAGGUCUUCGGAUCGUAAAACCCUGUUGUUAGAGAAGAAAGUGCGUGAGAGUAACUGUUCACGUUUCGACGGUAUCUAACCAGAAAGCCACGGCUAACUACGUGCCAGCAGCCGCGGUAAUACGUAGGUGGCAAGCGUUAUCCGGAUUUAUUGGGCGUAAAGGGAACGCAGGCGGUCUUUUAAGUCUGAUGUGAAAGCCUUCGGCUUAACCGGAGUAGUGCAUUGGAAACUGGGAGACUUGAGUGCAGAAGAGGAGAGUGGAACUCCAUGUGUAGCGGUGAAAUGCGUAGAUAUAUGGAAGAACACCAGUGGCGAAAGCGGCUCUCUGGUCUGUAACUGACGCUGAGGUUCGAAAGCGUGGGUAGCAGACAGGAUUAGAUACCCUGGUAGUCCACGCCGUAAACGAUGAAUGCUAAGUGUUGGAGGGUUUCCGCCCUUCA